CACGUAGUUAGCCGUGGCUUUCUGGUUAAGUACCGUCAUCUCAAGGCCAGUUACUACCUCAAGUGUUCUUCCUUAACAACAGAGUUUACGAGCCGAAACCCUUCAUCACUCACGCGGCGUUGCUCCGUCAGACUUGCGUCCAUUGCGGAAGAUUCCCUACUGCUGCCUCCCGUAGGAGUCUGGGCCGUGUCUCAGUCCCAGUGUGGCCGAUCACCCUCUCAGGUCGGCUAUGCAUCGUCGCCUUGGUGAGCCACUAUCUCACCAACUAGCUAAUGCACCGCAGGCCCAUCCAUGAGCGGCAGAUAAUCCGCCUUUAAAAAACUUACUGCUUAUGCAGGAAAGUCGUAUCCGGUAUUAGCUACCGUUUCCGGUAGUUAUCCCAAAUCUACAAGGGGUAGGUUGCCUACGUGUUACUCACCCCGUCCGCCGCUCGAUCAUGAGGAGCAAAGCUCCCUACAAAUCUCGCGCCUGACUUGCAUGUAUUAGGCACGGCCGCC
This 497-nucleotide ribosomal RNA is filed under the name uncultured Jeotgalicoccus sp. RNAcentral describes it as "partial 16S ribosomal RNA". Lineage: Bacteria; Bacillati; Bacillota; Bacilli; Caryophanales; Staphylococcaceae. The record is from RNAcentral.